This 253-nucleotide ribosomal RNA is filed under the name uncultured bacterium. RNAcentral describes it as "partial 16S ribosomal RNA". It matches the Rfam family "Bacterial small subunit ribosomal RNA", at positions 524 to 776 of the family's 1533-position model. The record is from RNAcentral.
UACGAAGGGGGCUAGCGUUGCUCGGAAUCACUGGGCGUAAAGGGUGCGUAGGCGGGUCUUUAAGUCAGGGGUGAAAUCCCGGAGCUCAACUCCAGAACUGCCUUUGAUACUGAGGAUCUUGAGUACGGGAGAGGUGAGUGGAACUGCGAGUGUAGAGGUGAAAUUCGUAGAUAUUCGCAAGAACACCAGUGGCGAAGGCGGCUCACUGGCCCGUAACUGACGCUGAGGCACGAAAGCGUGGGGAGCAAACAGG